AGUCGAGCGACUCCGUCUUUUGGCGGGGAGCGGCGAACGGCUGAGUAAAACGUGGGAACCUACCCCUUUCUGGACCAUAGCUUAUCGAAAGGUAGGGUAAUUGUCCAUGGUAUCCGGCGUUAAGUCGGAUUAAAGAGAUUAACUUCUCGGAAAGGGAUGGGCCUGCGGCCUAUCAGGUAGUUGGUAGAGUAACGGCCUACCAAGCCUACGACGGGUAGCUGGCCUUAUGAGGGUGGUCAGCCAGAGGGGGACUGAGACACGGCCCCCACUCCUACGGGAGGCAGCAAUCAGGAAUAGUCGGCAAUGGGCGCAAGCCUGACCGCGCGACGCCGCGUGCGGGAAGAAGCUCUUCGGAGUGUAAACCGCUGUGGUAAGGGAGGAAUACCGCCGUUGGCGGAAUGACAGUACCUUACUAGAAAGGGGCCGCUAACUGCGUGCCAGAAGCGUCGGUAAUACGUGGGCCCCAAACGUUAUCCGGUGUUACUGGGCGUAAAGGGUCGUGUAGGCGGUUUGGUAAGUUUUUGCUUAAAGCCCGCGGCUUAACCGUGGACCAGGCAAAAAUACUAUCAAACUUGAACAUCUUCUAAGGAGACAGGAACUUGCGGCGGAGUAGUGAAAUGCGUUGAUACCGCAGGGAACACCAAUGGCGAAGCACGUCUCUUUGAGGAUGUUGACGCUGAGACACGAAAGCUAGGGGAGCGAAGCAGAUU
This 710-nucleotide ribosomal RNA is filed under the name uncultured bacterium. Its description in RNAcentral is "bacterial SSU rRNA". It matches the Rfam family "Bacterial small subunit ribosomal RNA", at positions 60 to 779 of the family's 1533-position model. The record is from RNAcentral.